GAUCAUCAGUGAUAUAGUUUUGCUGGAUUUUAAGAAAUUUACAUGGAAUUUCACAUUGUCCACAUCUCUGAAAAUUCCAAAAAGAAUGGUGGUUACAGAACAAAACAAGAAAUGAGGAGCUCCAGUGCUACAAUUACAACCUGGCUAUGCUUUUCCAAAUAUAUUAGAUAUGUCAUAUUCUUGGAGUCUUGUUUCUUUUCUUUUUCUUCUUCCUCGAUCAUUCCUCCUCUCUCUGAUUUGAAGAAGCUCUGAUUUGCCACAUAGAAGAAAUCGAUGCCACACAGAGGCAUGAGGUUUCCAAGUUGGGUUUCUUCAAAUCUUGUCAAUAUUAAGUUACUGGAUUGCAGAUGUCAGCAUCUCCCACCAUUGCAUCAAAUCCCUUCUCUUCAAAACUUAGAGAUUUCGGGAUUAAAUGAUUUAGAAUACAUAGAAAUUGAGGGACAAGGAACAUCAUUCUUCCCAUCCCUCAAGUAUCUGAAAAUACAGUUUUGUUCUAAACUGAUAGGAUGGCGGAAGAAGAGGUAUGAAGAUGAUAGUGAUGAUUCAACCACCAUAUCAUCACCAGACCUACUCCAAUUUCCUUGUCUUUCUGAAUUCCACUGUAGGCGUUGCCCUAAUUUGAGUUUGAUUCCUCAGUUUCCAUCUCUCGAUGAAGAUUUAGAAUUGAGGGAAGUGAGCGUGCAACUUGUGCAGCAAAUAU
This 700-nucleotide unclassified non-coding RNA is filed under the name Hevea brasiliensis (rubber tree). Lineage: Eukaryota; Viridiplantae; Streptophyta; Magnoliopsida; Malpighiales; Euphorbiaceae. The record is from RNAcentral.